CCCAACUUCGCUAGUCGAAAAUGCCGGGUUUCAACUGCACGUACAGUAAUAGAAAUUUAUUUGGCAUAAUAUGUGUUUAAAUUGACAGUUAUUGGAGACAAGCAAUACUUUGUACAUCUUCUUUUUUAAAUCGCUGAGAAAUUAAAUCUAAAUGAUAAUUUCCAGGAAUUCCUGGAUGGGUAUCCAGAAUCUUUGAAUUUUCUAGCAGCAUUACUGCAAAAUAUGGUUAAGUGCUUCUUUAUGAAAAUCAAGUAUCAUGUGGGAAAAAAACUCUGGUUGAAUUUGCAAUGGAAUUCCAGCAAAAGUUUGUGAAUUCCUAGUGAGAAUAGAUGUACGUAGCUGAAGCGUAAACGCGAGUGUAUUCAUUAAAACCAUGCUGGAGGUGAUUUCUAGUCGGUCACUAUUAAUUUCUUUUAUUUCGUGGGCCAGGUGUAUUUUUGCGUCUAUCAAACAACGCACAAAUUCAAAUGGUCAUUGAGGAAGCACCAGCUUGCAAGAUGUAAUCGUAAGUUUGAAGGUAUUCAUGAUUUUACUUGUAAAAGACUUGGUAUUCAUGAGAUAAUUGUGAAAGAAUUCCUGGAUGACUUCUUGGAGAAUUUUUUGGCUUCUAUGUCCCUCUAAAAUUAUCUAAAAGAAUUUAAAUACAAAUCGCUGGAGGAAUUCCUCUAGAAAUCCUUCAAAUUAUUCAAAAAAUCUACAAGUAAUCCUGAAAAAACCCUGGGGUGAAUCCCUGAAAAACAUUAUGAACGGAAUACUGUAAUUUUUUAACUAAUUGCUGAAUAAUUAAAAAAAAAAAUCCCUAGAGAAAUUUCGGAAGAAAUCAUUACAAGAAUUCUCGAAGCAAUACCUGCAGGAAUCCCUGGAGUAAUUUGUGAAAGUAUACCUGGAGGAAUCCCUGGAUGAAUUCCUGGAGGAAUACGAAAAGCAAUUAUACUAGGAAUUUCAGCAAAAAAAAAUCUGAAGAAUCCGCAUCAGAAAUCCCUGUAGAAAUUACUAGAAAAUUUUUUAGAUGAAUCCUUGGAGGAAUUUCUGGAUGCAUUCCUGGAGGAAUCCUUAGAGGAACUCUUCAAGAAAUCACAGGAGGUGUUCCUAGAUGUAUUUCUGGAGGAUAUCCGGGAGAACCUUCUGGAAAAAUUCCAUGCGGAAUCUCUGGAAAAGUUCCUGGACUAAUGCCUGAAGCAUUAGGGGAUUUUUUUUAUUCUCGUACAAAUUGGUAUGAAGUUUCUGAAGGUUAAUGAAAUAAGGUAGGGAUCAUAUACAGUAUCGGACAAUAAAAAUGCACCAAAGCCGUUUUCCCAUACAAACUAGUCAACUUUAGAUUGUCAUAUCUUAGAUAUUUAUCAACCGAUUGUUUUCAUUUUCCUGUGACGAACUACAAAACAUUUCAAUUUUCAAAAACUAUUAAAAAAAUCCAAUGAUAACUAUUGUUACAAAAGUUACAGAUAGGUUGAAUUUUGACAAUAAAAAUGCACCAAGACAAAAAAUUGUAUAGCAAAAAAUGUUGAAGUCAAAUCAUGUUGGUCUGUUCAGCAAAAUUAUUCGUCAUCACACAAGAAACAUAUUUGCCGAAGACACCAUAAUGAUAUGACGUAACCAUUUUUUGCUAUAACAUUUUUUGUCUUGGUGCAUUUUUAUUGUCAAAAUUCAACCUAUCUGUAACUUUUGUAACAAUAGUUAUCACUGAACUUUUUCAAUAGUUUUUGAAAAUUGAAAUGUUUUGUAGUUCGUCACAGAAAAAUGAAAAAAAUUGGUUGAGAAGUAACUGAGAUAUGGCAAUCUAAAGUUGACUAGUUUGUAUGGGAAAACGGCUUUGGUGCAUUUUUAUUGUCCGAUACUGUAUAUUUGAAAAAACUAAAUUGAAAAAAAAUCAGGGUCGCCUAAUUUUCCGGAAAACUCCAGUGAAAAUCAAACAUUUUCCACAGACACCACCUACUUUGAAAAAUCGUAGAACGAAGCAUCAUAGGCACAUUUUUUUUUGUGAAAUCAUAAGCAAAUUUUCUCAGCAUUUCCAAGAUGGAUUCUGGAGGAAAUCCUAGAAAAUUUUUUGGACAAAUUCCUGGCGGAUUCCCUGGAAAAGUUAAUGGAUUGAUUGAUUGAUUUGUCUUUUUUAAAGAGACUUUCAGCCAUUGGCUCCAAAGUUAAUGGAUACAUUUCUGAAAAAGGCAUCCCUGGAGAAGUUCCUGGAGUAAUGCCUGGAGCAUUAGACGAAUUUCUGAUGAAAUUCCAAGAUAAACUUCUAGAAUAAUUCCCAGAGGAAUUUCUGGAGGAAUUCCAGGAGGAAUUCUUGGAGGAAUCUCACGGAAGAAUCCUUAGAGGAAUCCCUGCAGGAAUUUCUGGUAUAUUCUUGGAGGAAUUCCUGGUGGAAUUUCUAGAAGAACCCGUUAAAUAACUCCUGGACGGAUUUCUAGAGGAAUCCCUGGAGUUGAAAUUCAUGGAUUUAUUCCUAGAGGAAACCUGAAAGAUUUUCCGGAGGAAUCCCUUGGAAAAAUUCCUAUAGAAUUUCCUGAAGAAUCUCCUGAAAGAAUAUCGGAAGCAAUCUCUAAAGGAUUUCCUGCAGAAAUUCCUGGAGGAAUGCAUUAGGAAUUUCCGAAGAAAUUCCUGGAUGGAUUCCUGGAUCAAUUUCUGAAGAAAUUCCUGUAGGAAUUUCUGAAGAAAUACCUACGGUAAAUCUUGGUGGAAUUUCUUGAGGAGCCCCUGGAGACACUGCGGUAGUAAUUUCUGAGAAAUUCCCAGAGGAAUUCCUGAAGGAAUUCGUAUAUGAAUUCCUGAAGGACUUUCUGAAGGAAUUCCAGGAGUAUUUCUGAAGAAACCUCAUAAGGAAUUCCCGCAAAAUUUCUCAGAGAAAUUUCUGCAAAAAUUCUUGAAAGAAUCCCUGGAGAUAUUCUUGGAAAGAACCCUGGAGAAAUCUCUGAAACUCUGGAGGAACCUUAGGAGGGAUUCCUGGAGGAACUUCCGGACAAGUUUCAGGUGGAAUUUCAGAAGGAAUUUCUGGACAAAUCUUUAUAGGAAAUCUUGGGGAAAUUCCAUGGAACUAUUCAUGGAUUAAUUCCAGGAGGAAUCCUUUAAUCAAUUCUUUGAGGAAUCCUUCAAUGAAUUUCUGGAAGAAUCUCUAGAGGAAUUCUGGAAGGAAUCUAUGGAGAGAUUUCUGAAUAUAUUCAUAGAGAAAUUCCCAAAGAAAUUCCUAGAGAAAUUCCUAGAGGAAUUCUGAGAGGAAUUUCUAAUGAAGUUCCAGGAGAAAUUUCCAGAAGAAUUUCUGGAGGACUUACAGGAGCAAUUUCAGAAGGAAUUUCUGGAAGAAUUACUGGAGAAAUCAUCGGAGGAAUUUCUGGAGGAAUCCAUGAAUUAUUUCCUGGAGGAAUGUGUAGAGGAAGCCUCGGAGACUAAAUUCCUGGAUUAAUUCUUGGGGGAAACCCUGGAAGGAUUUCUGGAGGAAUUCCUUGAACAAUUCCUGAAGGAAUUGCUGUACGAAUUUCCGAAGAAAUUCCUGGAGGAAUUCCUGGAUCCAUUCCUGAUUAAAUUACCGAAAGUAUUCCUGAAGAAAUACCUGGGGUAAUUUUUGGUGAAAUUCGUGGUAGAACUCCUAGAGGAGUCCCUGGAGAAAUGCCUGGAUGAAAUCCUGGAAGAAUCCCAGGAGGAAUACCUGGAAUAAUUCUUGAAUAGAUUCCAGAAAGAAUUUGUGGGGAAAUUUUUAAAAGAAUCCCUUGAGGAUUUUCUGGAGGAUUCCUGAAAAAAUAUUUGAAGGAAUUCCUAGAGAUAUCUCAGGAGGAAAUCAUUCAGGAAUCCCAGGAAGAACUAUUGGAAUAUUUCUUGGAUAAACUCCGAGAGGAAUUCUUGGGGCAAUUUCUAAAUGAAUCCUUGGAGGAUUUUCUAGAUAAAUUCUUGGAGAAAUUGCGGUUAUAAUUUCUGAAGGAAUCCUGGAUUAAUGCCUGGAGGAAUCCUUAUAGAAAUCACUGGAGGAACUUCUGGAGGAAUGCCUGGAGUAACCCCUGGAUAAAUUCCUGGAGACAUGCCUGUAUCAAUUCCUGGAGGAAUCUCUCGGGCGCUGUCCAUAAACUACGUAGACUUUUUUUCGGCCAUCUCAGACCCCCCCCCCCUCCCCCCUCGUAGACUUUUGUUCAUACAAAAUUUUCGAAAUUUGUAUAGAGCGUAGACUUUGGCCAGACCCCCCCGUCCCCCCCUAAGAGUCUACGUAGUUUAUGGACAGGCCCUCGAGAAAUUCCUUAAGAAAUCCCUGGAGGAUACCCUGGGGAAUUGCCUUGAAAAAUCCCUGGAGAAAUUCCUGGACUAAUGCUUGGAGUAAUCUCUGGAUACAUUUCUAGAUGAGUACCUGGUGGAGUUUUCAAAAGAAUUCUGGGAGCAAUCUAGUGGAGUUUGGAGUUUUUACAAGAACUCCCGAAACAAUCUCUAGAUGAAUUGCUGGAGAAAUCCUGAGAUGAGUCCAUGGAGAAACUCCCUGGAGAAAUUUCUAAAGAAAUUCUUGGAAGGAUCCCUGGGAAAAUUCUUUGAAAAAUCCCUGGAGGAAUCCCUGAAGCAAUUUCUGGAGAAACCUCAGGAGGAAUGCCUGGAAAGUUCUGGACAAAUUCCUGCAGGAAGUUCUGGAUAAAUUCCAUGCGGAAUCCCAGGAAGAAUUCCUGGAUUAAUAUGAGAAGGAUUUUUUGUGGAAAUUCCUUGGAACUAUCCCUGGAAGAAUUCUUGAAUAAAUUCCUGGAGGAAUCUCGAGAGAAGUUCUGGAAGCAGUUAAUGGAGGAAUUUCUAAAGAAAUUCCAAGAGAAAUUUCUGAAGAAACUCCAAGAGAAAUUUCUGAAGAAAAUCCAAGAGAAAUUUCUAGAGAAAUUCCUAGAGGAAUUUUUGGAGGAAUUCCAGGAGGAAUUCCUGAAGGAAUUGCGGUAGUAAUUUCUAAAGGAAUUCCUAUGGGAGUUCCUGAAUCAAUUCCUGGAGGACUUUCUGAAGGGAUUCUUGUGGUAAUACUUAAGUAACCUCUUGAGGAAGUCCUGGAGGCAUCCUUAGAGGAAUUUCUAGAGAAUUACUUGGAAGAAUUCCAGGGGGAAUUCUUGCAAAAAAAAAACUGGAGGAAUCCCUGAAACAAUUUCUGGGAGAACCUCAGGAGGAAUUCCUGGACAAAUCUCUAUAGGAAAUCUUGAGGAAAAUCCGUGGAACUAUUCAUGGAAGAUCUGCAGGAGGAAUCCCUAAAUGAAUAUCUUGAGAAUCCCUGAAUGAAUUCCUGGAAGAAUCUAUAGAGGAAUUCUGGAAGGAAUCCAUGGAGAAAUUUCUGGAGGAAAUCAAGGAGAAAUUUUUAGAGGAAUUCAGAAAGGAAUUUCUGGUGGAGUUCCAGGAGAAUUUUCUGGAGGAAUUACUGCAGGAAUCAUCGGUGGAAUUCCUGGAGGGAUCCAUGAAAUAAAUCCUGGAGGAAUGUGUAGAGGAAACCUAAGAGAUGAAAUUCCUGGAAGAAUUUUCGGAGGAAUUCAUGGAAGAAUUCCUGGAUCCAAACUUGAAUAAAUUCCUGGAGUAAUUCCUGAGGAAAUACCUGGGGUAAUACCUGGAGAAAUUCUUGGUAGAACUCUUGCAGAAGUCUCUGGAGAAAUGCCUGAAUGAAAUCUUAGAGGCAUGCCAGUAGGAAUACCUGGAAUAAUUCUUGAAAAAAAUCCGGGAGGAAUUUCCGAAGGAGUUCCUGGAGGAAUCUCAAGAUUCAUUCCUGAUGAAAUACAAAGUUCGAUUUCUGAGGGAAUUCCAGGAGGAUUUUCUGAAGAAUUCUCAGGGGAAAUACUGAAGAAACCGCUGAAAUUCCUGAGGAAAUCCUGAAAUCCUGGAUUAAUUCCUGCGGGAGUUUCUGAUGGAAUCCCCAUAAGAGUUCUUCUAGAAAUGUUUAAAAUAAUCUCGGAAUUCGUUUUUGUAAGAAUAACAGAAGAAAUUUCCGGUGAAUCCCUGGAGGAACUCUUGAAGUAAUUUCUGGAGAAACCCGAUGAGGAAUCCCGGAAUCAAGCCCCAUUAGGAACUCUUUAUGGAAUCUCAGGAGAGCUUUCUUAGCGAAUACCUGGAAUAUUUUUUGUAGGAAUAUGCCUGGACAAAAAAAAUGAAGAAAUCAAUAUCUGCAGUAAUUGUUGAAGGAAUACUAGGAUCCCUAGUGGAGCGGACCUGGUGGGAUGGUUAGAACACUUGACUAUCACGCCGAGGGAUCGAAUCCCACUCCCGACAAACUCGCAAAAUGUGAGCUCUUCCUUCGGAAGGGAAAUAAAGCGUGGGCCCCGAGAUGAACUAGCCUAGGGCUAAAAAUCUCGUUAAUACACAUAAAAACACUAGGAUCCCUAAAGGUUUUUUGUACAAAUUUUUCAAGCAAUUCUUGGAGUGUUUUUUUAAGAAUCUCUAAGUAAAAUUUUCUAAAAGAAUUUCUGGAAUACAUUCCUGCAGAAAUACUUCGAAUCAUUCCAGAUGUAAUUAUUGGAGCAAUCUCUAGUUGAAUUUUGGAAGGCAUAUAUGGAGAUAUCCCUGUAGAAAUCUCUGAAUACCUGCAGAAAUACCUUAAAGGAUCUCUGGAGAAAUUCCUGAAGGAAACUUCGAAAAAAGCACUGGAAAAAUUACUGGAGGAACCUAUAGAUAUCCCAGGAAAAUACAUGCCUAGGAAAACAGUCAUUUUGAUUAAAAUUCAUCUCAAGUCAGGCCCCCCCUGGGCCCCCUCCAGGAAAAAGUCCUAGUUACGCCAAUGGGAAUUUCAGGUGAAACCCUUAAAGAAAUUCCAGGAGGAAUCCCCGAAGGAAUUCCAGGAGUAAACCUGGAAAGAACUUCAGGAGGAAUCUCCGAAAAAGUUCUAGAAGAAGUUCCCGGAAGACUUCCAGGAUAAAUCUUCCUGGAGUUCCAGGAGGAAUUACCGGAGGAUUUCCAGGGAUGAUCUCCGAAGGAUUUCCGGGAGGAAUCCCUGAAAGAUUUUCAAAAAAAAAAAAUCCCUGAAGAAUUUUCAGGGAGAGUCCGCGAAAGAUUUCUAGUGGGAUGCUCCGUAGUUUUUCUAGGAUGAAAUCCGGAAGGAUUUCCAGGAGAAAUCCCUGAUAGAUUUCUAGAGGGAAUCUCUGUAGGAUUUCCAGGACGAAUCCUCGAAGGAUUUCCAGGAGGAUUACUUGAAGGAUUUUCAAGCAAAAUCCUGAAGAAGAAUCCCCGAAAAAAUUCCAGGAAGAAUCCCCAAAAGCUUUCCAGGGAGUUGCUCCGCAGUUUUUUCCAGAAUAAAUCCUCGAAGGAUAUCCAGGAGAAAUCCCGUAAGCAGCCGCCGAAAGAAUUCUCGGGAGAAUUCCAGACGGAAAACCUAGACGAUUCCCUGAAACAAAUCCUGGAGGAAUCCUUGAAGGAACUCCAUAAGAAAAUACUGGAGAUCUUCCUGUUUACUGUCCUAAAGAAAUUCUUGAAGAAACUCAAAGAAGAACCUUUGAGAGGACUCCUACAGGAGUUCCUGAAAAAACUUCUGGAGAAAUAUCUUAGGUAACUCCUGGAGGCAUCUACGAAUUCUCCAUUGAAUAUCUAUGAAAGUACUCCAGGAGUGAUUCUUGGAAGAAUACCUAAAAGAACUUCUAGAGGAACCCCUGCUAAACAUACUGGAGGAAUCUUGGAAAUAAUUCCUGGUCUAAUCCCUGAAUGAAGUUCUGCAGGAGUUCCUGAAGAGAUUUCUGGGAAAACGCAGACUUCUCCAGGAGAUGUCCUUGGAUCCUCCUGUAAGCCUUUCUGAAGGAACUUCUGGAGGAACCACUGAAAUAAUUCCAGGAGGAAUCCCUGAAGAAACAUCUACUUGAAUCCCUAAAACUCCUGGAGGAAUCUCUGAAGAAACUCCUGGACUGAAGGAACUUCUGCAGGGAUUCCUAAUGGAUGUUCUGGAAGUAUUUCAGAAUCUCUCUGAAAAAAAUCCCUGAAAGGACUUCUGGAGUAAUACCUGAGGGAUUCUGUUGGAAUAGCUGAGGGAAUUUCAUACGGAAUCCCUAAUAAUAAGCCGGGUAGCAUCCUGAAUCCUCCUGAAGUUUUUGGGGAUAUUCCUAACGGAACUCCUGAAGAGAUCCCUGAAGGAACUACUAUUCU
Long non-coding RNA from Aedes albopictus (Asian tiger mosquito), 8049 nucleotides. RefSeq lists it as uncharacterized. Lineage: Eukaryota; Metazoa; Arthropoda; Insecta; Diptera; Culicidae. The record is from RefSeq and is a predicted model, not a curated record. The transcript is spliced from 2 exons.